Gossypium raimondii (Peruvian cotton) is the source of this 1444-nucleotide long non-coding RNA. RefSeq lists it as uncharacterized. NCBI's taxonomy places the organism in Eukaryota, Viridiplantae, Streptophyta, Magnoliopsida, Malvales, Malvaceae. The record is from RefSeq and is a predicted model, not a curated record. The transcript is spliced from 7 exons.
CCCAGGGAGAUGAGCAUGAUCCUUCAGGCAGCAAACGGGAUAUGAUGAGUGGUCAUUACUCGCAAGCGUUGCGAGAUGGGUGUCCGCCGCAAAGCCUGGUUACGACACUUGGGCACUCCCAUUUUUACCAUCUGAUCCCUAUGCGAAAUAGAUCCUAAAUUGUUGUUAGGAGCUAUGAGAUCGCUGUCAGCGUCUAGGGUGGAGUUGGAGGAGCUGGAAACCAUAAGAAUCCUUAGAAUGAGAUAUUAAUUUCUUGGUUAAAAAAAUAUUUAAACCAAAAUAAAUAAAUACGUUAAAAAAUAAUUGUUGAUAUGUGACUGUUUUUCAAUAGCAUUUUGAGAUAUCGAUCAACAACAGGAAGCUGUUAGCUUGAGACAUUAUACCUCUUAAAACAAAACCUUACAGUAUCGCUAAUUCUUUUGUCUGAAAUUCUGUAUAAAGUUGGGAAAAAGCAAAAGCGAAGCUCAAAAUUACCUGAAGGGCACUCAAGCACGCGAGAAAAACGAAUUGUUGCUUAAAGAGUUUGGUAUCGACUACAAUACAUUGCCAGUCAUGUUCCGGCUGGGUUCUUCCGUUUUCCAGACAGAGAACACCUCAAUCUUAGAGAAUGAUGCUUCUUCUGUUAAGAAAAGGGAAGCUAAAAUAAUUACAGAACAUUGUAGUAUAAUUGAGCAGAGCUUCUGGGAAGCACAUCCAAGCUUCUUGGGUUAAAGUCUCUGAGACGUUCCAUAGAUUUUAUGUAGACCUGUCAAUUCGGAGGGUUGGGCCUAUUUGGUCGGGUAAAAUAGAGUUUUAAAAUUUUUGGGUCAUUUUCAGGUUCAAAUCAAUUUACUUGAACUUAAAUGUUAGAAUUAUUUUAUAAAAUAGAAUGAAAAAUGAACUUAUGCCGCAAAGGUUUCUUGUGCCAUUCUUUCACUUCAGGCCUUUUGCCUCUCUUCUUUUAUACUGAAAUGUUAGGUCUUAUAGUUGUUACCUUAACGGGACAAUGCUCAUCAGCAUCUCAAGUCUUCUUCUCUGCAGGUUGCUUCCCUACUUUGCCACUGUUCCAGUCUGGAUAGGCCUGUAUCAAGCUCUUUCAACUGUGACUAAUGAAGUUCUGUUGACAGAAGGUUUCUUUUGGAUCCCUUCUUUGGGUGGACCAACUACAAUUGCUGCUCGACAAAGCGGGUCUGGAAUUUCUUGGCUUAAUUCAUUUGUGAAUAGCCACCGCCAUUAGGUUGGCAUGACACUGCGUCAUACCUUGUUUUACCUGUGCUUCUUGUUGUCGGUCAAUAUGUUUCAGCAGAGCUGAUGAAGCCGCCCCAGACAGAUGAUCCAGCCCAAAAGAACACACUUGAUUGGUUACUUUUCAUUAUCCGUUCUGUCAGGAUUACCGAUUUACUGGUGGGUUCGACUGCUGCAAGAUCCAAUAUUGUUUGAACCAUGUAAUGAAAUCAAACAGUUC